UAAUACGGAGGGUCCAAGCGUUAUCCGGAUUUAUUGGGUUUAAAGGGUUCGUAGGCGGGGCAUUAAGUCAGUGGUGAAAUCCUGCAGCUUAACUGUAGAAUUGCCAUUGAUACUGAUGCUCUUGAAUUCACCUGAAGUAGGCGGAACAUGACAUGUAGCGGUGAAAUGCUUAGAUAUGUCAUAGAACACCGAUUGCGAAGGCAGCUUACUAAAGUGAUAUUGACGCUAAGGAACGAAAGCGUGGGGAGCGAACAGGAUUAGAUACCCUGGUAGUCCACGCCGUAAACGAUGAUCACUCGUCAUUGGCGAUACACUGUCAGUGACCAAGCGAAAGUGUUAAGUGAUCCACCUGGGGAGUACGCUCGCAAGAGUG
Molecule: ribosomal RNA, 373 nt
Filed under: uncultured Bacteroidota bacterium
Lineage: Bacteria; Pseudomonadati; Bacteroidota
Description: bacterial SSU rRNA
Rfam family: Bacterial small subunit ribosomal RNA
Source: RNAcentral